GAUGAACGCUGGCGGCGUGCCUAAUACAUGCAAGUCGAGCGAACAGACGAGGAGCUUGCUCCUCUGACGUUAGCGGCGGACGGGUGAGUAACACGUGGAUAACCUACCUAUAAGACUGGGAUAACUUCGGGAAACCGGAGCUAAUACCGGAUAAUAUAUUGAACCGCAUGGUUCAAUAGUGAAAGACGGUUUUGCUGUCACUUAUAGAUGGAUCCGCGCCGCAUUAGCUAGUUGGUAAGGUAACGGCUUACCAAGGCAACGAUGCGUAGCCGACCUGAGAGGGUGAACGGCCAGAAGGGAACUGAGACACGGACCAGACUCCUACGGGAGGCAGCAGUAGGGAAUCUUACGCAAUGGGCGAAAGCCUGAAGGAGCAACGCCGCGUGAGUGAUGAAGGUCUUCGGAUCGUAAAACUCUGUUAUUAGGGAAGAACAAAUGUGUAAGUAACUAUGCACGUCUUGACGGUACCUAAUCAGAAAGCCACGGCUAACUACGUG
RNAcentral lists this ribosomal RNA (497 nucleotides) under uncultured bacterium. RNAcentral describes it as "partial 16S ribosomal RNA". It matches the Rfam family "Bacterial small subunit ribosomal RNA", at positions 28 to 507 of the family's 1533-position model. The record is from RNAcentral.